GAUGAACGCUGGCGGCGUGCCUAAUACAUGCAAGUCGAGCGAAGGAGCGAGAAGCUUUCUGGUCGGAGUGGAGCGGCGGACAGGGGGGGAAUACGUGGAGAGCCUACCUAUAACACUGGGAGAACUUCGGGAAACCAGAGCUAAUACUGGGGGAUAUUUUGGGCCGCUUGGUUCAAGGGUGAGGGACGGUCUUGCUUUCGCUGGUGGAUGGACCCGCGCUGCAUUAGCUAGUUGGUGAGGUAACGGCUUACCAGGGCAACGAUGCCUAGCCGACCUGAGAGGGUGGUCGGCCACCCUGCAACUGAGACACGGCCCCGCAUCCUACGGGAGGCAGCAGUAGGGAAUCUUACGCCACGGGCGACAGCCGGCUGGAGCAACGCCGCGUGAGGGAUGAAGGUCUCCGGCUCGUAAAACUCCGUUAUUAGGGAAGAACAUAUGUGUCAGCAACUGUGCACAUCUUGACGGUACCUAAUCAGAAAGCCACGGCUAACUACGUG
This 497-nucleotide ribosomal RNA is filed under the name uncultured bacterium. RNAcentral's name for it is "partial 16S ribosomal RNA". It matches the Rfam family "Bacterial small subunit ribosomal RNA", at positions 28 to 507 of the family's 1533-position model. The record is from RNAcentral.